CCCGGCUCUCGGGGCUGCUCAGGAAGAUGCACUUGUUCCGGAGCUCCAGCUACGAGGUGCGGCUGGAGGGGGCCGGGGGGAGCCUGCCCCGCAUCCAGGGGAUCCGCUGGGUGAGUGGGGCCGGGGGAGCGUGUCCCCAAAUCCCCCGGGUGAGCGGGGCCGGGGGAGCGUGUCCCCAAAGGAGCGUGUCCCCAAAUCCCCCGGGUGAGCGGGGCCGGGGUCUCCCCAGCCCCGGGAAUCCGGGAAUGAGAGGAGGGCAGGUAGUCCAGGAGUGCAGGGAGCCAGGUGAGGGUGGAAGGAGCCAGGUGAGGGAGCAGGGAGUGAAGCCAGGCGUGCAGGUGAGGGCACAAGGGCCAGGUGAGGGAGCAGGGAGUGAAUCCAGGCGUGCAGGGAGCCAGGUGAGGGCACAAGGGCCAGGCGAGGGCACAGGGGGCCAGGUGAGGGCACAAGGGCCAGGUGAGGCUGCGGGUGAGCUGCUUAGGCUGGAACGGGCGGAGCGGAGCGGAACGGGCGGCCAGGCGUGAAGCGAGCCCCGUGCCAGGUGCCCGGCGGCGCAUCCCAGCAGGAAGGACAUUCCGGGGGGACAUUCCGGGGGGACAUUCCCGGUGGGGGACAUUCCAGGGGGACAUUCCCGGGGGACAUUCCCGGGGGGACAUUCCCGGGAGCGCGCAGCCUUCCCCCGCUCCCCCGCCCGUUCCCGCACAGGGAUUUGUCCCCUGGCAUCGCGACCUCCCCGCCCGGCUCCGCGCUGGCCCCGGGAGCUGGGGGCAGUCCCCGGGGUGCCGGGCCCUGCUCUCGGCCCCUCCGUGUCCCCUCCAGGGGGGAGGUGACCCUGGAGCCCUGGCAGAGCUUCCGGAGCUUUGUGUCCUUCCCCCUCCCACACUGCUUGGCCUGGGACACUUUUCAAGAAAAAAGUGGAAUUAUUUUAGGGGACAGCUCCCCUCGGGGCAUUUCCACGGAGCACGGGGGCUCCCUCCCAGAAAAGUUUUCCUCCCUUUUUCCCUUUCUUCCCGAUUUAUUUUUCUCUCCAAAACUUUUAGGAACGGACUUUGGGGAGGGCUUUGUUGGGGCACUCAGCCUGGGAAGCCAGGCCAGCAGCAGGCCUGGAGCAUUCCCGGGCUGGACUGGGAUCAAUCCCACCAGCCCUGGCAGCAGUGACACCUGUGGCACGGCAGGAGUGUCCCCUCUGCAGGGGACACCCGGGGUCGAGGGCACUGGAGCGAUGCCAGCAGGGAAAGGGGGAUUUUGUCCCAGCACAGCCACUCCUGGGGCAGGGGAGCGGCAGGGAAGCGCCUCAGGAGCCCACAGGUCCCUUGUCCCCAUCGCUGGAAGCUCCUGGAAACUCCUCCUGGCUCCAUCUCAUCCCCCUCGGGGACCUGAUCCCAGCAAAUCCCUCCCGGCUCCAAAGGACAGCGGUGUCCCCAAGUGGCUCCGUCCUCCGUCCUUCCCAGGGGACAAGCGCCACUGUGCCAGUGACAAGCGCCACUGUGCCAGCCCCUGCCGCAUCCCUGGCAAGGACAGCGGAGCCGGAGUGCAUCCCNNNNNNNNNNNNNNNNNNNNNNNNNNNNNNNNNNNNNNNNNNNN
Serinus canaria (Common canary) is the source of this 1584-nucleotide long non-coding RNA. NCBI's taxonomy places the organism in Eukaryota, Metazoa, Chordata, Aves, Passeriformes, Fringillidae. The record is from Ensembl.